GUCCCAGUAGCGCAAUGGAUAGCGCGUUGGACUUCUAAUCCAAAGGUCAUGGGUUCGAAUGUCUCCUGGGAUG
Molecule: transfer RNA, 73 nt
Filed under: Trichonephila clavata
Lineage: Eukaryota; Metazoa; Arthropoda; Arachnida; Araneae; Nephilidae
Rfam family: tRNA
About the family: Transfer RNA (tRNA) molecules are approximately 80 nucleotides in length. Their secondary structure includes four short double-helical elements and three loops (D, anti-codon, and T loops). Further hydrogen bonds mediate the characteristic L-shaped molecular structure. tRNAs have two regions of fundamental functional importance: the anti-codon, which is responsible for specific mRNA codon recognition, and the 3' end, to which the tRNAs corresponding amino acid is attached (by aminoacyl-tRNA synthetases). tRNAs cope with the degeneracy of the genetic code in two manners: having more than one tRNA (with a specific anti-codon) for a particular amino acid; and 'wobble' base-pairing, i.e. permitting non-standard base-pairing at the 3rd anti-codon position.
Source: Rfam by way of RNAcentral